RNAcentral lists this ribosomal RNA (465 nucleotides) under uncultured bacterium. RNAcentral describes it as "partial 16S ribosomal RNA". It matches the Rfam family "Bacterial small subunit ribosomal RNA", at positions 338 to 795 of the family's 1533-position model. The record is from RNAcentral.
CCUACGGGAGGCAGCAGUAGGGAAUCUUCCACAAUGGGCGAAAGCCUGAUGGAGCAACGCCGCGUGGGUGAUGAAGGUCUUCGGAUCGUAAAACUCUGUUGUUAGAGAAGAAAGUUCGUGAGAGUAACCGUUCACGUUUCGACGGUAUCUAACCAGAAAGCCACGGCUAACUACGUGCCAGCAGCCGCGGUAAUACGUAGGUGGCAAGCGGUAUUCGGAUUUAUUGGGCGUAAAGGGAUCGCAGGCGGUAUUUUAAGUCUGAUGUGAAAGCCUUCGGCUUAACCGGAGUAGUGCAUUGGAAACUGGGAGACUUGAGUGCAGAAGAGGAGAGUGGAACUCCAUGUGUAGCGGUGAAAUGCGUAGAUAUAUGGAAGAACACCAGUGGCGAAGGCGGCUCUCUGGUCUGUAACUGACGCUGAGGUUCGAAAGCGUGGGUAGCAAACAGGAUUAGAUACCCGAGUAGUC